AUACCUUUCUCGGCCUUUUGGCUAAGAUCAAGUGUAGUAUCUGUUCUUAUCAGUUUAAUAUCUGAUAUGUGGGCCAUUGGUCCACACGAUAUUAAAUUUAUUUCUUGAAGGGGAGGGCCCAACACAGUAGCUUGCUACUGGGGUCUUCAAGCGUCGCCCGUGUGUUGCACUAUAACAUGGGCCUGGCGCACCCUAC
Glycine soja is the source of this 196-nucleotide non-coding RNA. NCBI's taxonomy places the organism in Eukaryota, Viridiplantae, Streptophyta, Magnoliopsida, Fabales, Fabaceae. The record is from Rfam.